RNAcentral lists this transfer RNA (74 nucleotides) under Leptonema illini. Its description in RNAcentral is "tRNA-Arg". It matches the Rfam family "tRNA". From Rfam's summary of the family: Transfer RNA (tRNA) molecules are approximately 80 nucleotides in length. Their secondary structure includes four short double-helical elements and three loops (D, anti-codon, and T loops). Further hydrogen bonds mediate the characteristic L-shaped molecular structure. tRNAs have two regions of fundamental functional importance: the anti-codon, which is responsible for specific mRNA codon recognition, and the 3' end, to which the tRNAs corresponding amino acid is attached (by aminoacyl-tRNA synthetases). tRNAs cope with the degeneracy of the genetic code in two manners: having more than one tRNA (with a specific anti-codon) for a particular amino acid; and 'wobble' base-pairing, i.e. permitting non-standard base-pairing at the 3rd anti-codon position. Lineage: Bacteria; Pseudomonadati; Spirochaetota; Leptospiria; Leptospirales; Leptospiraceae. RNAcentral also lists the same sequence under 2 other names. The record is from RNAcentral.
GCUCCGAUAGCUCAGCUGGAUAGAGUACUGGACUUCGAAUCCAGGUGUCGCAGGUUCGAAUCCUGCUCGGAGCA